UAUUGGUCAAUGGACGCGAGUCUGAACCAGCCAAGUAGCGUGAAGGAUGACUGCCCUAUGGGUUGUAAACUUCUUUUAUAUGGGAAUAAAGUUUUCCAUGUGUGGACUUUUGUAUGUACCAUAUGAAUAAGGAUAGGUUAACCCCGUACCAGCAGCCGCGGUAAUACGGAGGAUCCGAGCGUUAUCCGGAAUUACUGGGUUUAAAGGGAGCGUAGGUGGACAGUUAAGUCAGUUGUGAAAGUUUGCGGCUCAACCGUAAAAUUGCAGUUGAUACUGGCUGUCUUGAGUACAGUAGAGGUGGGCGGAAUUCGUGGUGUAGCGGUGAAAUGCUUAGAUAUCACGAAGAACUCCGAUUGCGAAGGCAGCUCACUGGACUGCAACUGACACUGAUGCUCGAAAGUGUGGGUAUCAAACAG
This 416-nucleotide ribosomal RNA is filed under the name uncultured bacterium. Its description in RNAcentral is "bacterial SSU rRNA". It matches the Rfam family "Bacterial small subunit ribosomal RNA", at positions 362 to 775 of the family's 1533-position model. The record is from RNAcentral.